This is a non-coding RNA of Pocillopora verrucosa, 4637 nucleotides long. The record is from RefSeq and is a predicted model, not a curated record. Lineage: Eukaryota; Metazoa; Cnidaria; Anthozoa; Scleractinia; Pocilloporidae.
GGCAUGCAGCCCAGCCACUAAGCUAUCCAAGGGUGGGUUGCAAAUGGCUCUCUGUGGAAAGCUCAAGGGGUGGGGAGGGUAUGUUAUUGGACCCCUUGUCUUACUGGCAGUUUUCUAUGAGGCUGGAAGGGACUUGUCUUAUUCAUCUUGUUUUACAGCCUGCAUGGUGGCCAGGCUUGUACCCUUUCACACCUUAGCCACUGUUGGUUGCUGUUGGUCAGUUGGUUGCAGCAAAUCCAUAAAAAUAGCCCAUUAAGAUUAGUUUGAUGAAGGUAGAAGUUCUCCCAACAAAGCAUAAGGAUGGAGUAUGCAGUCAUGUAAGGAGAAAUUGUAAAGAAUGCCAGAGGCGUUUCAAGGGUUGAUAGAAUGGGGUUGGUAAUAUUCCUCAGUUAUUGUCGAGACUCACCGAAAUCAGGGGGUACUCGAAACAGUUACUGAGCAGCUAUGAAAUUUUGUGCAGUGGUCUUUUUGGUUUAUCUAGCCAUUUGUGCCGAUGUAAGUGAGAGAAAGAAAAAUUUCAAACAAAUUUUGGGCAAGUUGUCAGAUCUUGAGGACUUGAUAAAAAAGAAACAAAACUGCUGUAGGGUGAGUGGGUAAGGUCCAGAAGAUCGUUUCUGUUGUUUACAUUUACUUUUCAUCAUCGCUUUCAGGUUGCCUGAGGGUUUGGAAUUUCAGUUGGAUAAAAAUUGGUCGUUAAAAUGAUGGCUUGGAAUAUCCGCAUUUAUCUACUAGUGACUGAUUGCUUAAGCUUAUCUUUAAGUUGGUCUCUCCUCAUCAGUACGGUGGCCUAUUGGGGCAAAACACAACUCAAUUUCUCUUCUGAAACACAGUAGUGUUUUCCAGAACACAAAGAAAUCUUCUGAAACACAACAAUCUUUUCCAGAACACAACGGAAUUUUCUGAUACACAAAAGCAAGCUAAAACACACCAAAAUCAAAAUUUCAAAGUACUGGGCCGGGUUGUUCAAAGCUUGAUUAAGAUAACCCAGGAUUAGUGUGAAAUUUGAUAUCAUAUUUGAAAGCUUAAAAAAAGAUCUAGCGUAAUUUGUUUGUCUACAAUGUUAUGACUGCAUGCUCUAAAGAGAAUCCAGAAAAUCAUCCCAAACUGGCUUUUGAACAAAGGAAUUGAAGAAACCGUGAAUAAAUUUUAAUCUUAGGUUAGCGCUAAUCAGCUGUCGAACAACUGGGCCCUGGUAACUAAACCUGUCGCUAAAAGCGUCCAGAACCUGGAACUAGCUCUGGCUAAGGCGGCAACGAGUUUUGAACCGUUCGUGUAGUGGAUUUGAACUAAAUUGGCUUCUUCAAGUUCAGUAAGCGAUCAUCCAGAAGAAGAAAGCAUAAUCUCGUAUCAGUUUUCAAGAGGAUAUCACUGAAUUUUUAGUUAAGUGUCAUGGCAUUACGAUGUGUGUACUGAUCAGAUUGACAAAAUACCAGUUGUAGGUUGAAGCAUUUGACUUACGUUGUUCAGGAACAAAUUAUGAAUGAGCUAAGAGGCCCAGGCUACCAAGGUGGAUAUAGAAGUAUGUGGCAUACCCUACGACUUAAAAAUAUUCAAGUUCCUAGACAUUUAGUAGCUGAACUUAUGAGGGAAAUGGAUCCAGAAGGAUGUGAGCAGAGGAAGGCAAAAAUCCUCGAAAGAGGAAGUUACUUCUUAUCUGGUCUAAACUACACAUGGCACGUCGACGGAUACGACAAAUCAAAGCCUUAUGGAUUUCCAAUUCAUGUGUGUAUUGAUGGAUGGAGUUGAAAAUAAUUUGGCUAACAGUCACAAGGUGGCAAACAACCAUCCAGAAAUUAUUGCCAAUGUCUAUUUGAACUGUGUUGCAGGGCUAGAAAGCUGUCCAGUGAAACUGAGGACUGACUGUGGAACAGAAAAUAGCGUAAUGGCAGCUGUGCAAUGUACAUAUCAACAAGAUGCAAAUGUGCACAAGUAUGGGUAAUCUCUGGUGAACCAAAGGAUUGAGAGCUGGACACCUUCAGUUAAGAUUCAAAAGUGUGGUCUUCCAGGUCUUCAGUCUCUCCCUAAAAUGGAGUCACGGGAUUGGAUUACUUGGAGGCCAUGUUACUAACCUACUGAAGCACUUCCUUCACCAAGAUCUGCCUUGGCAUGAAGCUCAAUGGGUUAACCAGGUCCUUGGGAGUGGAUCAGGAAGCAGCCUCACUAUGUGCCCUCAUUGCUGGGGACAGGUUCAGCAGGGUGCAAAUGGGUAUCAUUGGCAAUGGACAAGAUGGUUGCAGUUCCCCUGACUCCAGAAUAGGAUUUGGUUGAGGAGGAUCAGGAUACAAAAAUGCAUAAGGAAAAAGCUUUGUGGAGGGCGGACAAUGGAGACAAAAAUAUCAAUGAAGGUGUUUGGAUACUGAACUGCUCUGCUCAAGGAAAAAGCUGCCUGCAACAUGGAGCUGUCUGGUAGUUGACAAUUUUGAAUUAAAUCAAGUUUUUAAGUGAGGGCCAGACACAAACACUUAAAUUACAGAAAAUAAUUGGCAGACCAUGACAAUAAGUGACCAGUUCUAUCGCCGAGAGAGGCAGGGGCAGAGAUGAUUUUUUGGGGAUCACAUGGUUUUCAGGUGAAUGGUGAGGGGAUCUGUCAUUCACAAAUAGACUAUAGAGGCACUGUAGAAAAUGAGUGUUUCUUCUUUUGUAUUUUUCCCAUUCACCCCUAUUCCCUUCUUUAGAACCUUACCAUACAAGCCACAUUUACCUGAUAGGGGUUAAUUGUUGAAAUUCAAGUGUUCGAAUGUAGGAAAAAUGCAUGUAGCCCAAUAUUCCAUUUGAAUAAGCUUUGUUGUUGUGCAGCUGUAACCUGAUAUUUCAUUUGAAUAAGCUUUGUUGUUGUGCAGCUGUAACCUGAUAUUCCAUUUGAAUAAGCUUUGUUGUUGUGCAGCUGUAACCUGAUAUGUCAUUUGUAUAAGCUUGGUUGUUAUGCAACUGUAGCCUGAUAUUCCAUUUGAAUAAGCUUAGUUGUCCUUAGUUGAGAUGACUCGAUACGCAUUAUCGUGAGUAAAAUUAAAGAACAAAUUUUGUCAAGGAUGGAAACACACCUCCAAGGGCUUCUUUAUUUCAACAGUUACAAACAUUACUUAAGACAUCAUUUUCAUAAAAAGUUCUCAAUCUAAUUCAGUGCAGCAGCUCCUGAGAUGAUCUCAAUCAAUUCCCUUGUAAUCACAGCUUGGCGAGUUUGAUUGUAUGUCAGAGUCAACUUGUCAAUCAUUUCACCUUUAAGUUCAGAUCUUGCACCAAGAUCACAUUAGUAAUUCUCCUUACUGUCUACCAUACAGUUCAUGUGAUGUUAGUUUUGAGAAUUUGGUAUUGGAUCAACUACUAAUCCUCUAACUGAUAUAUUUCUUUAUUUUUGUCACUUAUCUGCUUGAUAUUGUAUUGAUAUCGCAAGGAGAAGUCACUAGAUUGGAUCACUUGGAGACCCUGUUUCCAACCUACUGAAGCACUUCCUUCACCAAGAUAUGUCAUGGCAUGAAGGUUGAUGGGGUAACCAGGUUCUUGCAAUGGGUGUCAAUGGCAAUGAACAAGAUGAUUGCAGUUCCCAUGAUUCCAGAAUCGGAUCUGGUGAAGGAGGAUCAAGAUAUGAAAACACAUGUGGAAACAAAGCUUUGUGGAGUGCAGACAACAGAGACAAAAAUAUCAAGGAAUUUGGAUACAUCUUCAUUCAAUAAAGACACUGAACCACUCUACUCAAGGAAAACGCUGCAUGCAACAUAAAGCAAUGAUUAUGCUUUAAUUUCAGUAUUGGGGAUUUUAAAAUAUUGUCUGGUAGAUGACAAUUUUGAAUAACAUCAAGUGUUUAACCAUUUAACUCCCAUGAGUGACCAAGACAGAAUUUCUCCUUACAAUAUCAAGCAGACAAGUGAUGAGAGUGAAGAAAAAUAUCAAUUAGGGGAUUAUAACUUGAUCUAAUACCAUAUUCUCCAAACUAACAUAACAAGAACUGUAUGGCAGACAGUAAAGAGAAUCACUAAUGAGAUCUUGGGUGUUAAAGGGUUAAGUUAGGGCCAGACAUGAACACUUAAAUUACAGGAAAUAAAUAGCAGACCUUGAGAAUAAGCAACCAGUUAUCAUUUUAUCAUUAAGGGAGGGGGGUUGGUGGUUAUUUUGGGGGAUCACAUGGUUUUCAGGUGAAUGGUUAGGGGUUUUGUCAGUCACAAACAGACUAUAAAAAGGCACUGUAGAAAAUAGAGUUUUUUUUUUCCAUUCACCCCUAUUCCCCUCUUAACCUUUUAACUCCCAUGAGUGACAGAGACAGAAUCUCUCCUUACAAUGUCAAUACAAUAUCAACCAGACAAGUGAUGAGAAUGAAGAAAAAUAUCAAUUUGGGGAUAAGUAGUUGAUCCAAUACUCAAUUGUCUGAACUAACAUUAUAACAGUUAUAUGGUUGACAGUAGGGAGAAUUACAAAUUUGGUGUAGGAGUUAAAGGGUUAAGAACCUUCCCACACAGGCUACAUUUACCUGAGUGGGGUUAAUCAUUCAAAUUCAGUUGGUAGAGUGUAGGAAAAAAUGCAUGUAACCUGAUAUUCCAUUUGAUUAAGCUUAGUUGUCAUGCAGCUAUACAAAGUACUUGUUGUUCUGCUCCCAUUGACACCUGAACUGCAACGUAACCACCCAUGUCAUGCGGUGGACUUGU